UCUGAUCGAUUUGGCAUGCACAACAAAGCUGUUGUCUAAAGUGCACUGCCUGGUUCUCGUCCCCAAACUAGGUCAUACCAGCAAAGUGCUUGGUGCUUGCUCAGCAGAGAAGUGAAUGAAUGUGGUCAAAAUGCAUGCAACAGUAAUGGGAGACUGAAAAAUUAAUAAUUGGAGGAGGGAUCAAUACCCACCCUUCUGGAACUGCAUGUGGUGAACUGUAGUUCAAGCCCAUUGCGUUUUAUACUAAGAUAGUCAAGCUCUGUUAUCUGGGUCUGAGCCGAAGGACACCUUUGUUCUUUUCCUACCACAGCAGGGAGUGAGCGUCUCAGCAUAUCCAGAAAUCUCCAACGACAGAGUUUUAAAAAAACUUGACUCAACACAUUUGGUUAAAGAGUCUUCUGGGAAAGGAAAGCUAAUGACGUGAGGUCUCCACACAAAAUGAUAUACUGAUUAUCAACUCUCUUGAGGAGGGACAGAAGAAAUCGGUUGUCCCAGAAAAGCACAUCAUGGCCCCCACCUCAGCAAGAGGGGUUGCAAUUCAUUUGUUAACACUUCAGCUUGUCUUAGUGGGAAACAUUUUCUGUGGGAAUGUGCUUAUCUGUCCAGAAGAUGCCAGCCACUGGCUAAAUAUCAAGGUCGUUAUUCAGGAACUGCUGUGUAGAGGUCACAACGUCAACAUCCUAACUCCGUCAACAACCUUUUUAAUAAAACCCAGUGAUGAUAUAGCGGCUGCCAGGUCUGAGGUGUACCAAGUGUCCUAUGGAAAGAGUGCCAUGGACUCCUCUAUGCAGGAGCUCACAAUGUUGGGGUUGAACAACAAGCCAACCAUCCUGACCUUCCACAGCUUCUACCAAGCAGCAUGAUGUUCUGUUUGCGGACCUGGUCGCGCCCUGUGGCGACCUGAUUGCUCUGAAGUUGAACAUCCCAUUUCUGUUCACCGUGAGGAUCACGCCAGCCUCAACGGUGGAGAGACACUGUGGCAAAAUACCUGCUCCCCCUUCGUAUGUUCCCGCUAUCAUGUCUGGGCUCACGGACAGAAUGUCUUUUGGAGAAAGGGUGAAGAAUAUAAUAUCUUACCUCGUGCAAGAUUAUAUUUACCAGACCUGGUGGGAAGAGUGGGACUCUUAUUACAGUCAGGUUUUAGGGAGACCCACAACUCAUUGUGAAGUGAUGGGGGAAAGCAGAGAUCUGGUUGAUCCGCACCUACUGGGACUUUGAAUUCCCGCUGCCUUUCCUACCAAAUUUUGAAUUUGUGAGGGGUCUGCACCAUGGGCGUAGACAGGGGGGCAGGAGGGGGCAGCUGCCCCCCCUAGAAGCAGGGCCGGCGAAGCGGUCGUCAGA
Zootoca vivipara (common lizard) is the source of this 1341-nucleotide RNA transcript. It is a transcript of the gene named UDP-glucuronosyltransferase 2A2-like, with no coding region annotated. The record is from RefSeq and is a predicted model, not a curated record. Lineage: Eukaryota; Metazoa; Chordata; Lepidosauria; Squamata; Lacertidae.